UUGACGGGGGCCCGCACAAGCGGUGGAUGAUGUGGUUUAAUUCGAUGCAACGCGAAAACUUACCCACCUUUGACAUGGCAGGAAUCCUAAGAGAUUGGGAGUGCUCGAAAGAGAACCUGCACACAGGUGCUGCAUGGCUGUCGUCAGCUCGUGUCGUGAGAUGUUGGGUUAAGUCCCGCAACGAGCGCAACCCUUGCCAUUAGUUGCUACGAAAGGGCACUCUAAUGGGACUGCCGGUGACAAACCGGAGGAAGGUGGGGAUGACGUCAAGUCCUCAUGGCCCUCAUAGGUGGGGCUACACACGUCAUACAAUGGCCGGUACAGAGGGUAGCCAACCCGCGAGGGGGAGCCAAUCCCACAAAGCCGGUCGUAGUCCGGAUCGCAGUCUGCAACUCGACUGCGUGAAGUCGGAAUCGCUAGUAAUCGCGGAUCAGCAUGCCGCCGUGAAUACGUUCCCGGGUCUU
This 464-nucleotide ribosomal RNA is filed under the name uncultured Allobrachymonas sp. RNAcentral describes it as "bacterial SSU rRNA". It matches the Rfam family "Bacterial small subunit ribosomal RNA", at positions 910 to 1382 of the family's 1533-position model. Lineage: Bacteria; Pseudomonadati; Pseudomonadota; Betaproteobacteria; Burkholderiales; Comamonadaceae. The record is from RNAcentral.